Molecule: ribosomal RNA, 432 nt
Filed under: uncultured bacterium
Lineage: Bacteria
Description: partial 16S ribosomal RNA
Rfam family: Bacterial small subunit ribosomal RNA
Source: RNAcentral
AACGAACGCUGGCGGCAUGCCUAACACAUGCAAGUCGAACGAGACCUUCGGGUCUAGUGGCGCACGGGUGCGUAACGCGUGGGAACCUGCCCUUAGGUUCGGAAUAACUCCCCGAAAGGGGUGCUAAUACCGGAUAAUGUCUUCGGACCAAAGAUUUAUCGCCUUUGGAUGGGCCCGCGUUGGAUUAGCUAGUUGGUAGGGUAAAAGCCUACCAAGGCGACGAUCCAUAGCUGGUCUGAGAGGAUGAUCAGCCACACUGGGACUGAGCCACGGCCCAGACGCCUACGGGAGGUAGCAGUGGGGAAUAUAGACAAUGGGCGAAAGUCUGAUACAGCAAUGCCGCGUGAGUGAUGAAGGCCUUAGGGUUGUAAAGCUCUUUUACCCGGGAUGAUAAUGACAGUACCGGGAGAAUAAGCUCCGGCUAACUCCGUG